Puntigrus tetrazona (Sumatra barb) is the source of this 1124-nucleotide long non-coding RNA. RefSeq lists it as uncharacterized. The transcript has 6 exons. The record is from RefSeq and is a predicted model, not a curated record. Lineage: Eukaryota; Metazoa; Chordata; Actinopteri; Cypriniformes; Cyprinidae.
AAAGGCCCGCGCUGUCCGCAGACUGUCGAAACGCUGUUUGUAGAGCGUUUUUUCUUCCCAGCGCAUACGCGUUUUCCGUCUGACACGCACGCUCGGGAACACAGACUCUGCAGAGACGGCGCCUUGAUGUUGUUAGGCGCUUCUCGGGGAGCUUUGCUGCCGCUUGCGUGUGAGCAGAAGGAGUAGGAACCGCUAUCAAAGACCCAAUGAAAAUGUCUCAUCUUCCUCCGAGUGUUUUGGCCUGGGUAUAUGCGUUUAGAGGGCUUGAGAGAAGAGGAAAGGACCUACAAAGUGCAUUCUGGAUGGACUGUUGAGCAUCGCUUUGAUGCGGAGACGUGUCAGAGCAGUGUCCACUGACAACAGCUUGUCAUUUCUGUCACAGAGACUCGGGCACAAAGGCAGAAACGAAUCAUAAUUCCUAUUGUAAAGAUGCUGAUGUCACCAGUCCUCAGAUGAUCUUGCUAGAAGACUGCAUCUGCUGUAACGUCCAAGUAAAUCCAACCCGAGAUUGCAGAGGCUGUUGAGAGCUGGACAGCCGAGAUUUGCUGCGUCUCAUUAUGAAUGCUGUGUAUUGGACUCACGGAUGGGGAAAAUGAAGUGGGCGAGUGGGUAUGCACUGCGUGUUUCUCCUGAUCCUGAUGCACAUAAACGCUUCUAAAGGAAAACGGUGUUCUUCCACCACAGCAGGCAAGGCAAGUCACAGAUCUGUGUUUUAAUUAGCGAUGGGUCAUUCGUGAACGAUUCGUUCAAUGCGUCCGUCACGAGACAAAUGAAUGAAACACGCAGGAAAUGAACUUUCAGAAUGAAUGCGUACGCGCAGGGGCUAUUGAAAAUAUAACGCAUCAGCUCUGUUCUAAAGAACAAAAGGACAUUUUGCCGAAUGAGAGUGAGUCAAUAAAAUGAUCCAAUCUUUCUGUCACCGGUUAUAAUGCGUUUACAUAGAUUCAUUCUGUGCAUUUUGUUAGACAGUGACCAUAUACCUGCGCGUUUUAAUCACACAGUAAAGCCUAUAAGCACAUACGCUAAUUAGAAAAACACCAAUAAGUACUUGACUGGUGGCUGAGAAGUGCUUGCAGAGCCACUCAGACUCAUCAGAAAGUGCUGCCAGGCAAAGCAGAGGCAAG